This 806-nucleotide ribosomal RNA is filed under the name uncultured bacterium. RNAcentral describes it as "bacterial SSU rRNA". It matches the Rfam family "Bacterial small subunit ribosomal RNA", at positions 8 to 796 of the family's 1533-position model. The record is from RNAcentral.
AGAGUUUGAUCAUGGCUCAGAACGAACGCUGGCGGCGUGCCUAACACAUGCAAGUCGAGCGCGAAUGGAGCAAUCCUAGUAGAGCGGCGCACGGGUGCGUAACACGUGGAUAAUCUGCCUGAGUGCCCGGGAUAACCAGUCGAAAGAUUGGCUAAUACCGGAUAAGCCCACGGUCUCUUCGGAGAUUGAGGGAAAAGGUGGCCUCUGUAUACAAGCUAUCACAUUCAGAUGAGUCCGCGGCCCAUCAGCUAGUUGGCGGGGUAAUGGCCCACCAAGGCAACGACGGGUAGCUGGUCUGAGAGGACGAUCAGCCACACUGGAACUGAGACACGGUCCAGACUCCUACGGGAGGCAGCAGUGGGGAAUUUUGCGCAAUGGGCGAAAGCCUGACGCAGCAACGCCGCGUGUGUGAUGAAGGUCUUCGGAUUGUAAAGCACUUUCGACCGGGACGAAAACCCGAAACCUAAUACGUUUCGGCUUGACGGUACCGGGAGAAGAAGCACCGGCUAACUCUGUGCCAGCAGCCGCGGUAAUACAGAGGGUGCAAGCGUUGUUCGGAAUUAUUGGGCGUAAAGCGCGUGUAGGCGGCGUGGCAAGUCGGGUGUGAAAGCCCUCAGCUCAACUGAGGAAGUGCGCCCGAAACUGCUGUGCUUGAGUGCCGGAGAGGGUGGCGGAAUUCCCCAAGUAGAGGUGAAAUUCGUAGAUAUGGGGAGGAACACCGGUGGCGAAGGCGGCCACCUGGACGGUAACUGACGCUGAGACGCGAAAGCGUGGGGAGCAAACAGGAUUAGAUACCCUAGUAGUCC